This 253-nucleotide ribosomal RNA is filed under the name uncultured bacterium. Its description in RNAcentral is "partial 16S ribosomal RNA". It matches the Rfam family "Bacterial small subunit ribosomal RNA", at positions 524 to 776 of the family's 1533-position model. The record is from RNAcentral.
UACGGAGGGGGCUAGCGUUGUUCGGAAUUACUGGGCGUAAAGCGCACGUAGGCGGCUUUGCAAGUUAGAGGUGAAAGCCCGGGGCUCAACUCCGGAAUUGCCUUUAAAACUGCAUCGCUAGAAUUGUGGAGAGGUAAGUGGAAUUCCGAGUGUAGAGGUGAAAUUCGUAGAUAUUCGGAAGAACACCAGUGGCGAAGGCGACACACUGGCCCGAUACUGACGCUGAGGCGCGAAAGCGUGGGGAGCAAACAGG